Crotalus tigris (Tiger rattlesnake) is the source of this 4434-nucleotide long non-coding RNA. RefSeq lists it as uncharacterized. The record is from RefSeq and is a predicted model, not a curated record. NCBI's taxonomy places the organism in Eukaryota, Metazoa, Chordata, Lepidosauria, Squamata, Viperidae. The transcript has 3 exons.
CAGCUGGCAUGAAGGAAUGAGCCACAGUUGCAGCCAAAUCCCUACCAAUGAGAAAAUGCCUUGUCAGAAAUGACAAACAUUGUCAAUCCUUCUCAAGCAACCACUUCUUGCUGCAGCUCAGACAGCUCAUUUGAGGCAUCCUAGGAUUUUCAAGGAUGAGAACUACCCAGUCAUUGAAAACCUAUGGGACGAGUUUCUAUUUCAGCACAUGAGCAUAUUGUGGGCUAUCAUGUUAUGCCUUCAAGAAAUUAGGACACAGGCUAUUAGUAGGGCAAAGGUUAUAGAACCAGGACUCUGUCAGUUUCUCAGAAACUCAGUUCUAUGAAAUCUUCAAGAUGGAUAUGGAACAAAGUCACAGAACGAAAAUACCACUUUUGUUUCCUAACAUUUUUCAGUAUCAAAGGACUCUCAUCCCGGUAUUCAUCAGACUCAACCCUACUUAAUUUUGAAGACCAGUCAAGAAUAACAGAUUUGGAAGUGGACUGCCAUGGAAACCCUCCAUAAUGAACAGCCCCCUGCAUACUAAAGCAAAGGACAGAAAAAGUAACAUACUGAGUCCAGUACUAGCUCCUCUAUGAAUGAGUGGAAAUAUAGCCCUACAAAGAACACGGGGAAUGGAAGAUGGUUUUGAAUGGUUUGCUGAAAAAAAUGUCCUCAUGGGUUCCUUGAUUUCUGUUCCACACCUCACUUAGCAAAUACUAGGCUGGAUUAAGCAAGAGGGAGAUGCCAAAGAGGCCAUACUGGUUCUUUUCUUCUUAUGAUUUCAGCAUAAAGUUUAUGGCUGAUGAAUUGUGACAAGGGAUUGCUGGGAUACUGUUAGGCACAAGAAUGCUCAGCUGCUUAAAAAAAAAAAUAUUGUGCCUUUCCCUCCCUGCCAGGCACUUGGUUAUCCCUCUCUGAAAUAAUCAACUAAAUUUGCAAGGUUUGUUUACCAACAUCCCUCCUCCUUAGGAAAUAAAUGAGAUGAUGUCCUUCUUGUCUUUCCAAUAUGAGAUUCACUCUAGGAGGAGUUCUGCAGUUUUCCAGUUCUAUCACCAUCAUCUCCCUUUCCACAGAGAAUGAACAAACCCCAAAAUUGGGCAUUAGGACUUUCUAGUUCCAUUUCUGACAUAUUCUCUGGCAAGUUUAAGAGAGAAUAACCUCUACCUUAUUUGAGAUCUAGAAUUUUGUAAGUAUGAAAAGAGUUAAGUUUCAUCCAAAAAAGAAAAAAAAUAUAACUAUAGUGCUACACUGAAAAAGAUUCACUGGAGAUAGUGAUUUGCCCAGAUUUUGUCCUUAACCACAUUAUUUUUUGCCUGUCUUUCACCAGUAGCAAGCCAAGAAGCCUUUUUAAAAAUGGAAGAAUAUGACUGGAUUUUGUAAAAUCAUAAGUAGAAGGCAAAAUGGAUGGAUGAAUGAAAAUAGACAUUUUCCUGUCAAAGAGAAACUGGCUGAGCUGAAUGAAGGGAAUCAAAUAAGGAAUUAGUCUGGAAUCCCUACAUGGGCAUAAGAGGCAAAGUGUGACACCCCUUGAGUGCCAUUGAAGCUUAUCUAGUCUGACCUAGGUGCAAACUAUCAAACAGCUAAUUGACGUCUUUGCAUGUGGAUCUGUUUGUUUGCACCUAACAUUAUCUUCAAUGCAGGGACAUGCCCUUGUAAGAUUCCCUGUGCUGAAAAACAGCAAAAUAUUUUGCCCUAGCUGCCCUGGGCAAACAGAAAUGUUUGCAGUGAGCAAACUAAAUACAUUUGCCCUGUGAUACUGACUUAUCUUUUUCUGGGUAAUUCACUGUGAACCAGACAAAGCAACUUGAUUGCAAUUCAAACUCUAGCCUUUUCCAAAUCCUUUCUGAACUCCCAAGCAGUCCUUGUUUGACAAGGUUGAAAUAGCCAAGAACCUAAUAAUGAAUAAAGGACAGAUAUGUUUAUUUCACCUAAAUGUUUUUCUUGAAUCAGUAGCUUACUUUCAUAGACGUUUAAUAGAAUUAUAGUUUCUUACCAAAGUCUGCCUUAAUAACAGCUUGCAGUGACUGCUGACUUUUGCUUUAUGGAAUAUUCCCAAAUGGUUCUCAACAAUAAUGUUUUAACUGCACUCAUCUUCAAGAAGAACAGUUAGAGCAAGCUAGGUUAUCUUAUUAGAGAAUUUCAUUUGCCGAGUAAGGUGAAAGGUAAUGAUUGCCUCUUGUGCCGAGUUACGUGUAUAGAGAACAUGAGGGAAAUCAUUCUCAGAAGUUGAAAUUACUAGCUAAUCUACAACUUUAUAAAAAUACAAAUAAAUCCCAUAGCGCCUCUUGUUCAUGCAAAUUAAUAUUCAUGCAAUACAGAAAAGUGAUCCAAACAAAGGGAAAUAAUAGUUUGCAGAGAGCACUAAGAACCCAGCAGUACAACCUGCACUACAUAUAUUCUUUUGGAAGUAUACAAGUAGCAGCUUAUCUAGGGCAACAGUUGUUUUCAGUUUCUUAGAACCAGACAAGAUGGUCAAAAUAAUGAAAUAUAAAGAUGAAUCACUGAGUUAAGUUCAUAUUUCUCUCCUAAUGAAAGCAACUGGAACUAUGAAUUCAGUUUGUAGAUGCUGCAGUUUCUUGACCAAAAAUCUUACUUAAAAUAGAGCAAUUACAGAAUAGCAAGAAGUUAUUGAGACAAUAGUAGAGAAUUGUCUCAUCUUGCUGAUACUGGUUGAACCAGGAAAUAUAUUUUUCUCCUACCAAUAAUUAGUAGCCAUAAAAAACCUUAGUGAGGAUUUGCAAAGCUCCUUGCAAACAUCCUCAAAUCCUCUUAUUCAAAAUAUACACAAGCAUAUUUAAUACCUUCAAGUUACCAGAAAGAAAAUAUCUGCAGUAUCAAAAUACAGCUCAUAAGCAUGGGUAACUGCCAUUUCAUUCUCCUGAGUGCUAUUUCAGUGAAAGCAUAUUGCAAAGAUAACUUGUAUGGCUUGGUUUGGCGGCCUAACUUGGACAGACUUGUCCCUUUAAAGUUCUCAGUUGAUUCUAUGACAUGAAUUCAGGAGACCUGAGCACCAAUACCACAUUUGGACUAGGCAGUUUCUAAGCAAGGAUUGUGUACAGUUUUAUUUAAUGUUGAUAAAAAGAAGACUAUAUUUGUUCUCAUUAGAGAUUUUAAAAUAUAUAUAUAUAAGUUCUCCUUCCAGUCAAACUUGACUCCUGGUGACAAUGUAGAAAUGAAAAAUCUAUGCUAUUUUCUUGGCAACAAUGCAGAAGUAGAUUUCAUUAAUGUCUCGAAUUCUUUACUUCCCAAACCAGUAUACAACCCUGGGCUUUCUUAGUGGCUUUCUACCAUCAGUACUUAACCACUUCCAACCUGACAUAUGAAGAUUUUCAGUCAUCCAUUCAUGGUUGUCCCAAGGCUGCCUUUUAAGAAAGCACCUUUGGAACUUCCAGCCUACUCAGGUUUUUGUGUAGUAAGCCAAGAUGAGGUAAGUGCUGUUCCUAUUAAGUAAGCUGAAAUUCUUUAGAUUCUCAUUCCUGAACCUACAUACCAAACUCCAUACUAGAAAUACUGGGCAUGCAAUUUCUUCUCCAUUUAUACUUAUUUCUUAUUUAUUUUUAUUUUAUUUUUUAAAAGGAUUUCUUAGGGCUCAAUUUUUUGUGGUUUGUGAUUUGAGACCAGAUUUUGUAUCAUAGGAGUUUAGAACUAUCCAACAAUUAAGUGAAUUAAUUCUGCAACUGCAGAGUUUAUAUAGUUUCACUUGAAUUUAAUCAGUAUUGAAUUGAAUUUAUUCAGUAUUCAGUGCUAAAGAUACGGCUAUAAGAAUUAUGCCAUUUUAAAAAAAGUGCUGUGUAACAUGGUCACUCAUAAUUGAUAAUUGACUGAAAAUAAUGCUUUUGAAGAGUCAGAAAAUAAAAAAGCAAAUUUUCCUCUAUCACAGAGUGAGUCUAAGUAUAAUACUAUUUUCCCAGUAAAAUACUCCAAACUUUUGAUGAAAUAAACAAUAAUCCCUGAAAGUUUAUAGAGCAAUUUAGUCUUUAAGGUGCACCAAGAUUCUGUUGUGUUUUCCUUGGUUUUAAUUUAAAUUGUUUUUGCUCCACUCAUUUUCCCUGGGUGUAGUCAUUAAAGUAACCCUUCCCAAUCGGCAAAGGUACGAUGAAUAUAACACAAGUUGGCUGUAAAUGUAUAGGGAUUGAGGUCUUGUAAAGUUCGUGUGCAGCAAACUGCCUCAGUUCAAAUGCAUGAUCUCACCCCUUUCAUAUCGCCAUGGUGAUAUAGGGAAAUACCCCAGGCUGGUACAUGAUUUCACCUGGUUCACAUGAUCUCACCUCGUUCACACCAACAGGAUGUAGCAGAAAACUGCCCCUGGUUGGUGCCCCUGGCUGAGAUAUUCUUAAGGAUUGACAAGGAGAUUCUACCAAUAAAAAUGCCGUUGCUAUACUGUUGUUAUGUUACUUUAUGCUGCUUGGAAAACUGUAUAAGAGAAUAAAUACUACGAAGGCAGUAAGAUCA